RNAcentral lists this ribosomal RNA (492 nucleotides) under uncultured bacterium. RNAcentral describes it as "partial 16S ribosomal RNA". It matches the Rfam family "Bacterial small subunit ribosomal RNA", at positions 29 to 507 of the family's 1533-position model. The record is from RNAcentral.
AGUGAACGCUGGCGGUAGGCCUAACACAUGCAAGUCGAACGGCAGCACAGUAAGAGCUGGCUCUUACGGGUGGCGAGUGGCGGACGGGUGAGGAAUACAUCGGAAUCUACUUUUUCGUGGGGGAUAACGUAGGGAAACUUACGCUAAUACCGCAUACGACCUACGGGUGAAAGCAGGGGAUCUUCGGACCUUGCGCGAUUGAAUGAGCCGAUGUCGGAUUAGCUAGUUGGCGGGGUAAAGGCCCACCAAGGCGACGAUCCGUAGCUGGUCUGAGAGGAUGAUCAGCCACACUGGAACUGAGACACGGUCCAGACUCCUACGGGAGGCAGCAGUGGGGAAUAUUGGACAAUGGGCGCAAGCCUGAUCCAGCCAUACCGCGUGGGUGAAGAAGGCCUUCGGGUUGUAAAGCCCUUUUGUUGGGAAAGAAAAGCAGCAGGUUAAUACCCCGCUGUUCUGACGGUACUCAAAGAAUAAGCACCGGCUAACUUCGUG